Molecule: long non-coding RNA, 1289 nt
Filed under: Linum usitatissimum (flax)
Lineage: Eukaryota; Viridiplantae; Streptophyta; Magnoliopsida; Malpighiales; Linaceae
Description: long non-coding RNA (LUSI_LNC005150)
Source: RNAcentral
CUUAGGAAGAACCCUUGAUUAUUCGUUAGCUCGAUAGAUGAGCGAAUCGUUUAGACUUUUUGCAUGUUUAUCGUUGCGGCAUUUCAUCGAACACUUGUAAUGCACUUUUUUAGGUGUCGAUUAGCUCGAGAGAGGAAUCUACGGUUAGACGAAAUAGAUCCUUAGAGGCGCGAGUGUGAUCUAAGACUACAUUAGGAAAUUUCCAAGCCAUUAUAACCUAAAUAAUCCAGAUAACUUAUCGUUCAUCCAUGCAAUAUAAGCUUUAGUGGAUUCGAAUCCGAGCAACCUUCAUUCCCCAUUUGAAACUCAAUCUCUUGAAUUUGUUUUCCUUUGAUUUGAUUAGUUACUAAUUGGUUACUUGAAACAAUCUUAAAAGCAAUCAUAAACUGUUACUUGGUCUAGUUAGUUAAUCAACUUGAGUAAUACAAGUAGGAAGACCCUAGGGAAAUUUACGAUCCCACUAAAGCAAUCUAGUGGGUAAUUGAAAGCGGGGUAGCAUCCGUGCAUCAGUGGCCAAAACUGGCUUCACAACGGGGUUAGUGAUAAUCGGAGCAAUUCCAGACUUCCACCGAUGGAAAAACAAUGCUGAAUUAUGAAUAUACCAAGAGCGAUCAAGAAGCCACUCACUUAGGUUCACUGAAUUGAACUUAAAUAGGAAAAAAUUCUCUGCUAAGUGAGAGACAAACACAAAAAUCUCACAACCCCAAUGCCUAUUUUAGUCAUAAAUGAGAGCACACGGAUCGGCAGGAUAGAGCCAAGGAACUGACCUACCAAAGCCGAUUUCUAUCGGUGCUUACCCAAAUCAGUGACCGACUGCAAAAUCUUCAAAACAUCAUUCACCACAGCAACCCUCGAUUAUGGUAUGAACCUGAGAUCAGAUGAAGAGUCAGAGACCAAAGCGGCCCAUGACUUGGCGGAGGACGGGGGAGGAGAAGAUGCAGUGUCUACUAACAUAACAAUCCAAGCAAAAAUUAGGCAGAGAGGAGUAAGAAAAGAGGAAUUAAAGCAAGAGUCUGAAUGAUGCCAGAGAUUCGAAGAUCCACUGGUGAUCAAUCAAUACCAGUAAGGCCAUAGAGGAGCACACCCACAAAGAGAGCCCUUCCGGCACCGACGAUUAGGUGACGAAGAAAUCAGCUCAAGUUGAGAGAGAUCAACGAGCUGUACACGCGCUCUCGUUGUACGCUCAAAUUAUAAUGAAUAAAUUUUAGAAAGACUUAAAGAUUACAAAUUCUUAUAAUUAAUUAUAAGUCCUAUUUAUAAUAAAAUUUCCUAAUUAUGCUAGAAUAAUG